UCUAAAGCAACAAAUGAAAUGGCUUCUUUAGGGUUUCACCAACCCUUGAGUGCCGCCGCUCAGCCUUGUGCCAAAGCUCCGAUUACGACGGAGAUGGCAACAACUCGGUGGUUCCGGCAGAAAAAGGUAAGUUUCCCUUUCUCUUCCUCUUAUUAUUUUAAGCAAAAUAUAAAAAUAAAAGAAAAAUAAAAAAUAUAGAUAGAUAGUAAAAGAAUGAUGAACGCCAAUAAUGUAGAACGAAAAUAAAAAGAAACCUUUGUAUUCAAAAUAUUUUCGUAUUUAUUCUUGUAUCUGUAUUCCACUUUUUCUAUGUAUUUUUUCCUGCCUAUUUACAGUAUCUCAAUGGCUUUUUAUAGCCGAAAUAAGACAAUAAUAUAGAAAGAAAAUCUGUUUACAUUGAUUUGAUUCACAAUCUUUUGAUUUUUCUUUCCAUUUUUGCUGUUUAUUUCUUGUUGUGCAGGUGAAGAUUCGGCUCGUGCGGGGCUUGGCUGCGGCGCGAACGUGGAAGACUGCCUAGGGUUUCCUCUGUGCUAGAAACGCAGGGCCUCGAUCUUGUUUUGGGGUUUGGGCCAUAUAGGCCCACUAUAUUUUAGGUCAUUUUUAAUUUUAAUAGACCCGGGCCAAAAUCGG
This 630-nucleotide long non-coding RNA is filed under the name Gossypium raimondii (Peruvian cotton). RNAcentral describes it as "long non-coding RNA (GRAI_LNC008519)". Lineage: Eukaryota; Viridiplantae; Streptophyta; Magnoliopsida; Malvales; Malvaceae. The record is from RNAcentral.